UGCUCUCUCCACUCACACCCACUCCCUCCCCUCCUUCUCCCACGAGCUGCUGCUCCUCCUUGCAUGCAUGGCCGGCCAUGGCCAUGGAAAGCACUCCAAGAUGCAGCUCCCUCCUCCCUCAAGCUUCCCCUCACCAUGAGAGCUUCCCUCUCACUCUCUUCUCCCCUAAUCCUUGAUGAAUCCAGCUCUAUUUCUCCUUUCUCCUCUCACAAGAUUGGAUCUUGAUGCAGGUGCAUGUUGGUCCAAGCAUGGAGAAGGUUGAGCUAUCCUCAGAUCUGAAGUUCUAGAGCAAAAUCCAAAUCGAGUGAUUCAAAGUUCCACAGAUAGGUAUUGAAAAGAUCUACAACUCGGCGUUUGUCUCAUCCUCAAAUUCGUUACGGAUUUUGCAUGGAGCUUGGAAACGAAUUUUGGAAUGAAACCAAUUGGGGGAUAAUUGGUUUAUACCAUGGUGAUAACCGAGAGAGGCAAUUGCUAAGUUGUGAUGCACUCAUGCCUCUACUAGAUGCGAACAAUUCCGGAGAAGAAGAAGAAGUGGAAUCGGAUGAGGAUUUUAUUUAUAUAUUUUGUUGGAAUUCUUAUAUUGAUGGAGUUGAAGAAGUACAGGGACAAAUAAGCCAAGGCAAGCCAUCUUUGAACUCUGAAUGAUGUGGUGUUGGAUGUCAAUUGUUGAUGUCCCUAAGCAUCUUAUCCCUUAUGUGAUGAUCUCUCUAUGUUGGUCUA
This is a non-coding RNA of Lolium perenne, 720 nucleotides long. Lineage: Eukaryota; Viridiplantae; Streptophyta; Magnoliopsida; Poales; Poaceae. The record is from RefSeq and is a predicted model, not a curated record.